Molecule: long non-coding RNA, 482 nt
Organism: Pectinophora gossypiella (pink bollworm)
Lineage: Eukaryota; Metazoa; Arthropoda; Insecta; Lepidoptera; Gelechiidae
Exons: 2
Source: RefSeq, a predicted model, not a curated record
AAACGCAAUCAGUCAAGCAAGCAAGUCGCAGCUUAAGUAACCUUCUUUACCUUCGUACUGAAAGCCUACCUACUAUUUAAAUACAAAAUGCAGCGCCCCACUCCAUGCUUCACCGCCGGUGGCUUCAACAACGGGCCCCACAGGAUGGCACCAAACCCCUGCUUCGGCCCCGCUCGCAUCCCCCACCAGUAUGGACCUUGUUUCGGCCCCAUGCCUAUGGCCCCCGCUUACCAGCCUAGUUCCUGCUUCAUGUCUGCUUCAGCAAUAAAAGGCCAAAUGGGCCCCAAUGGCCCAGUAAAGCGAUACGAUCCCUGCUUCCGAUGAUCACAAGUUCUAAAUAAAUUAUUUACUAAAUCGUCAAGCAAGAUGCAAGCGAUAUGGAAUCUCGUUGAAUUGUUGUAUUGUAAUGUUUUAAUUGAAGCCUAGUUUUAUUAAAAAAUGCUUACUAUUAAGUUAAAUAAACUAUUAUUUUUCUAUAUUUA